Molecule: ribosomal RNA, 652 nt
Filed under: Staphylococcus sp. HMSC064E11
Lineage: Bacteria; Bacillati; Bacillota; Bacilli; Caryophanales; Staphylococcaceae
Description: bacterial LSU rRNA
Rfam family: Bacterial large subunit ribosomal RNA
Source: RNAcentral
GUACCGGGGCUAAACAUAUUACCGAAGCUGUGGAUUGUCCUUUGGACAAUGGUAGGAGAGCGUUCUAAGGGCGUCGAAGCAUGAUCGCAAGGACAUGUGGAGCGCUUAGAAGUGAGAAUGCCGGUGUGAGUAGCGAAAGACGGGUGAGAAUCCCGUCCACCGAUUGACUAAGGUUUCCAGAGGAAGGCUCGUCCGCUCUGGGUUAGUCGGGUCCUAAGCUGAGGCCGACAGGCGUAGGCGAUGGAUAACAGGUUGAUAUUCCUGUACCACCUAGUAUCGUUUUAAUCGAUGGGGGGACGCAGUAGGAUAGGCGAAGCGUGCUGUUGGAGUGCACGUCCAAGCAGUAAGGCUGAGUGUUAGGCAAAUCCGGCACUCAUAAGGCUGAGCUGUGAUGGGGAGAGGAAAUUGUUUCCUCGAGUCGUUGAUUUCACACUGCCGAGAAAAGCCUCUAGAUAGAUAACAGGUGCCCGUACCGCAAACCGACACAGGUAGUCAAGAUGAGAAUUCUAAGGUGAGCGAGCGAACUCUCGUUAAGGAACUCGGCAAAAUGACCCCGUAACUUCGGGAGAAGGGGUGCUCUUUAGGGUUCACGCCCAGAAGAGCCGCAGUGAAUAGGCCCAAGCGACUGUUUAUCAAAAACACAGGUCUCUGC